AGUCAAUAGAUACCCCGGUAGUCCAUGCCGUAAACGAUGAUUGCUAGGUGUGGGGGGUCUGACCCCUUCCGUGCCGGAGUUAAACACAAAUAAGCAAUCCACCUGGGGAGUACGGCCGCAAGGUUGAAACUCAAAGGAAUUGACGGGGGCCCGCACAAGCAGUGGAGUAUGUGGUUUAAUUCGAAGCAACGCGAAGAACCUUACCAGGUCUUGACAUCCACCGAAUCCUGUAGAGAUACGGGAGUGCCCUUCGGGGAACGGUGAGACAGGUGGUGCAUGGUUGUCGUCAGCUCGUGUCGUGAGAUGUUGGGUUAAGUCCCGCAACGAGCGCAACCCUUGUGAAUAGUUGCUACGAAAGAGCACUCUAUUCAGACCGCCGUUGACAAAACGGAGGAAGGUGGGGAUGACGUCAAAUCAUCAUGCCCCUUAUGACCUGGGGCUACACACGUACUACAAUGGCCGUUAACAGAGGGAUGCAAUGCCGCGAGGUGAGCGAACCCCUAAAAACGGUCUCAGUUCAGAUUGCAGGCUGAAACUCG
RNAcentral lists this ribosomal RNA (539 nucleotides) under uncultured bacterium. Its description in RNAcentral is "bacterial SSU rRNA". It matches the Rfam family "Bacterial small subunit ribosomal RNA", at positions 775 to 1314 of the family's 1533-position model. The record is from RNAcentral.